UACGUAGGGAGCAAGCGUUGUCCGGAUUUAUUGGGCGUAAAGAGCGUGUAGGCGGCCAGACAGGUCCGUUGUGAAAACUGGAGGCUCAACCUCCAGACGUCGAUGGAAACCGUCUGGCUAGAGUCCGGAAGAGGAGAGUGGAAUUCCUGGCGUAGCGGUGAAAUGCGCAGAUAUCAGGAAGAACACCCGUGGCGAAAGCGGCUCUCUGGGACGGUACUGACGCUGAGACGCGAAAGCGUGGGGAGCGAACAGG
RNAcentral lists this ribosomal RNA (253 nucleotides) under uncultured bacterium. RNAcentral's name for it is "partial 16S ribosomal RNA". It matches the Rfam family "Bacterial small subunit ribosomal RNA", at positions 524 to 776 of the family's 1533-position model. The record is from RNAcentral.